This 410-nucleotide long non-coding RNA is filed under the name Vigna radiata. RNAcentral's name for it is "long non-coding RNA (VRAD_LNC009630)". Lineage: Eukaryota; Viridiplantae; Streptophyta; Magnoliopsida; Fabales; Fabaceae. The record is from RNAcentral.
UCCUAAACUAAGUAUAAUGAUUAGAAGAAGAUGGUAAAAUCUUUUCAAUUAGUAAAUGUAUUAGAGUCAAGGUUUGAACGAUGUUUCGAGAUUAGUGGGAAGUAAGAAGAAGAGUUUGGAAAUAGAUAAAAAGGAGGUUUAAAUACUGAAGUAAUUAUCUAGAAGGUUUAAUAGGUUCGGAGGUCCCUGUAUUUGGGGUUUGUUUCAAUUGGGUCCUCCAAUUUUGGAAGUGAUCAAUUAGGUCCCUAAUUUUGUCAAUUUGAAUCAAUAAAAGCCUUUCCGUUAAAUGCAGUUAACGCCGUGAAGUUUUUGAACAUGUGACACACUGACGCUUCCAGGUAGCACCGUUUCAAGUGCAUAGGUGGAUUAUAAAAGGGUGAAAUCCCUAAAUUAAAAGGUGUAUUUGAAGG